RNAcentral lists this ribosomal RNA (419 nucleotides) under uncultured bacterium. RNAcentral's name for it is "bacterial SSU rRNA". It matches the Rfam family "Bacterial small subunit ribosomal RNA", at positions 28 to 455 of the family's 1533-position model. The record is from RNAcentral.
GAUGAACGCUGGCGGCGUGCUUAACACAUGCAAGUCAAGGGGGCUCCGCAAGGGGCAACCGGCGAACGGGUGCGUAACACGUGAGCAACCUGCCUUUGAGAGGGGGAUAGCCGGCCCAACGGCCGGGUAAUACCGCAUACGUUCUUCUGGUGGCAUCACCGGGGGAAGAAACGCUUGACGGCUCAAAGAGGGGCUCGCGGCCUAUCAGCUAGUUGGUGAGGUCACGGCUUACCAAGGCGACGACGGGUAGCUGGUCUGAGAGGAUGGCCAGCCACAUUGGGACUGAGAAACGGCCCAGACUCCUACGGGAGGCAGCAGUGGGGAAUCUUGCGCAAUGGCCGAGAGGCUGACGCAGCGACGCCGCGUGGGGGAUGAAGCAUUUCGGUGUGUAAACCCCAGUUGCUCGGGACGAACGACCC